This is a long non-coding RNA of Rana temporaria (common frog), 519 nucleotides long. RefSeq lists it as uncharacterized. The transcript has 4 exons. Lineage: Eukaryota; Metazoa; Chordata; Amphibia; Anura; Ranidae. The record is from RefSeq and is a predicted model, not a curated record.
AGCAGGAGGGCCGUAUGAACGCUGAAACAGCUGGUGUUUUUUCUUAUCAGAAGACUUUACUUGAUGAUGGGACUGCUGGUAACUGUGGUACUUCUGGGACUAUGCUCCCAAGCCGGGACAAUGUCCCGGAUUCCCAGCGUACCCCAAUCCGGUCCCCCCAGACUGUGAAAUGAAGUGCAAUUCGGAUUCAGAUUGUGUUGGAGAGCUAAAGUGCUGCCAAACCUACUGCGAAACGAGGUGCACAACACCUGGACCAACGAAAAUAGGAAAAUGCCCCCCUGUAACCUGGAAACCUUGUCCAACCUGCAUAAAACAUAGGUGCUACUUUGACACCGAGUGUCCUAAAAACCAAAAAUGCUGCGCCUUCCAGUGUGAAAUUAAAUGUACCGACGUCUGAAGUCAAGAACGAAGUUGAGUCUAGAAAGGACACAAGAUGAUUGAACCUACAAGAUGCCUGAUGAGACACAACAGUGAGGUCAACCUAUAUUACCAUGAAUAAUAAAAGAUAAUUCCAUUGUG